AAACAUUAUCAGUAUUGGAGGAGAAUCUCAAAAUAUAUGUCUUUACCAGCAAGCUAAAGGGACCAGAUAGAUAUUUCUUCUCUCUAUUUCAUGGGAGGUAUAACUAUAUGACUGAGUCUUGACCGAUCAGGUGCUCCCAUGCUGGGCUCAAAUUUCAAGGAAGUAAUGAAAUUAUACAGGUGGCUGUUGGAGAUUUCUCAUGAGGACAGCUGAAUCAGGAGUCCCUCAAUGCAGAGAUGGUUUGAAGAUGAAUGGCUGAGUAGAAAACACUUUCAGAUCCCCACAUAGGCAACGGCAGAAAAGCUCCAAGUGUGAUAUUACAAAUAUGUAUUGUCAUCGAAGACAGAAAUAUUUGCCUUGUCCACCCAAAAGCACAAUGAUCGUAUGGGUUGAUUGUAUUUUCUUCUCUAUGUAUUAUGUGCAGAAUUUCCCUUCAACAAAAGAAGGGAGGAAAGAAAACUAACCCUGCAUUGUAGGCUUCUGCUCUAUUUUAGGAGAGGAAAGAUACUCAAAGACAAAAACCAGCAAGAAAUGGCAUUUGACUUGCAAGCCUUUAGGAGAUGUGCAUAAACAGAGAAGCUCAAAGGGAGGCAGAGAAACCAGGAUGCCAUCGUUGAUUAUGUCCUUCCAGCAACUGCAACCGUGCCUCAAUUUGCAGGGAAAUACAUUCCUCUUCAUGGACCCUGUUCUGGGACCCAUAGCAUGCUCCAGGCUGCAGCCCAGACAGGAAGGUGUCCAAUAUGUCUUUGAGUUCCAUCUUGGGGAUCUCAUGUGAUCUCUGGUGUGUUAGUGAGUGGGCAGGGCCCCUGGAUCCCAGCACUGACCUCAGUUACAUGAAGAGUCUGAGUCCAUGGCAGGAUCUGGGCCCACAGUCUUCUCACCAACCCAGAGGCAGAAACAGACUCUACAAGCAACAUGGAAUGGCAGUGCUUUGUAUCUACAUUUAUUAGUUUUUAAAAAAUUAUAAAAUCUGGCUGGGUACGGUGGCUCAUGGCUGUAAUCCCAGUGCUUUGGGUGGCCAAGGUGGGAGGUUCCCUUGAGCCCAGGAGUUAGAGACCAGCCUGGGCAACAUGGCAAAACCCUGUCUCGACAUGGCUAAAUAAAAAAAUUAGCCAGGCAUGCUGGUACACACCUGUAGUCCCAUCUACUUGGGAGGCUGAGGUGGGAGGAUCACCUAAGCUCAAGAGUCCAAGGUUACAGUGAGCUAUGAUUGUGUCACUGCACUCCAGCCUGGGCAACAGAGUGAAACUUUGACUCUUAAAAAAAAAUUAUAAAAUCGGUGUUUGUUUUACAAGAAUUUGAAAUUCUAAGCUAUAUAAAAAGGAAAAUAAAUAUCACCAUAAUCCCACUGCCAGGGAGUGCCACGGGGUACUGGCACUGUUCCUCCAGCCCUGUAUCUGUAUAUGCCUAUAUGCCCAUUUAUACCCAUGUUGGAUAUCAGUAAGGAUUCCCCAGCCUCUCACACUGUUGGAGAGGCUCAACCCUGUUCCAUGCCCUCUAGAAGUCUAAAGUCCUCCCCAAGCCUUCUGGAAAUUCCAUGGGGUCUUCAGUCCUCAGGAUCACCCCUGCCCCCAAGCAUGGAUUUCUAUAGCUAAUUUCCUGGUGUUGUUCCGUUUUUCAUGAACACAGAUGGAGAGUACGUCUUACCCUGGGUUUCUACCCUAAAUCUGCACUCACACAGAUCAAUUAUUGAUGGGGUGGACUUCACUGAAAAUUUUAGGAGGGGGUGGAGUUGGAGUUAGUUUGAAACCACAGUAGCAGCCAAAACACCAGGCAUCUUUGUGUCCUCCAGGCAGCUACCAGGCAGAGUAUCUGUGACUUCUUCACCCUGGGAGGCCUCAGACUCACACCUCCAGGCUCCUGGCUUCCCCCUUGGUUCCAUGCCCCUCCCCCAGCCCUCCCCACCAGCGGCCCCCAAAGCAUCUCUUCUGUUUCUUUGCCCCCCUCCCCUAUGGUCUUCCUUCUAAUGCAAGGAAGUUGCUUAUAAAGGACUUUGUUUAAAUAAGGACCGUUCUUAUAGCAACUGUUACAAUAACAAAAAUCUUGAGAUCAUACUCUACAUACAUUCUUUAUUCUGCCUUUUUAAAUUGAGCGUUACACUUUUAGCACUUUCCCAUAUCAUUAAAUAUUUAGCAGCACUGGAUUUCAUCAAAAAGAUGCACCAUCAUUCAUUUCUCCAUUCCACUAUUUUUGGAUAUUCUUUGCUUUGGGGAAAUUUACAAAGCAGAAAUUAUUAGCUCGAGGAGUGUGAAUAUUUCUAAGGUCCCAUACUAAUUGCCAAAUUGUCCUCCAGAAAGGUUAUGUCAAUUUGCACACUCUGAAGCUCUAAAUGAGAGUGUUGAGUGACUUUAUUCUUUAAACAGUUUGCUAACUUGACAUUGUCUGUGGAAGAGACUAUUUUAGGUCAGUAAAAUAUCUGGUCAGAGUCACAGCCACAGAGAGCCCAGGGUGUGAGGGAGCUUUUGGCCUUGGGGGACUCCAGGGCCCUGGGGCAGUUGAUAAACCUCCCAGGACCUCCGGUGCUUCUCCGUAGCCUGGCUCCCACUGGCUCCAGUGCUCAAAGCAAAUUCUUCCCCCAAGCCCUGCAACUUUCCCUGGGGUAGCUCUCAUUCCACCUCUAUAACCAGGAAGGGCCCCUUGGGUAGGCACCCCUCAGCAAAUACCCCUAGCUUGUCCUCAGCAGAUGUGGUUGGCGGUGGGCAAACUGGCCUUCUCCCCUGCUCAGUAGGGAACUGGACUUCUGGACCCACCCAGACUCAUUUCUCUCUAUGUCAUUGUGUCAGAGGUGUUUGAACCAGAGGAACUCCAUCUUAAAUAGGAGCUGGGUAAAAUGAGGCUGAGACCUCCUGGGCUGCAUUCCCAGAUGGUUAAGGCAUUCUAAGUCACAGGAUGAGAUAGGAGGUCAGCACAUAAAGACCCUGCCAUAAAGACCCUGCUGAUAAAACAGGUUGUAGUAAAGAAGCCAGCUAAACCCCACCAAAACCAAGAUGGCCAAGAGAGUGAUCUCUGGUCAUCCUCACUGCUACACUCCCACCAGUGCUAUGACAGUUUACCAAUGCCAUGGCAACAUCAGGAAGUUACCCUAUAUGGUCUAAAAAGGGGAGGCAUGAAUAAUCCACCCCUUGUUUAGCAUAUUAUCAAGAAAGAACCAUAAAAAUGGGCAACCAGCAGCCCUCAGGACUGCUCUGUCUAUGGAGUAGCCAUUCUUUCGUUCCUUUACUUUCUUAAUAAACUUGCUUUCACUUUACAGACUUGCCCUGAUUCUUUCUUGCGUGAGAUCCAAGAACCCUCUCUUGGGAUCUGGAUUGGGACCGCUUUCCUAUAACAGUUGGAGUUUGGAAGAGAUGAACAGCCUCCAUUUCCCCAUCCCCCCAUCCCUCCAGCAGAGAAUAUAGGGUCACUUUCCCCCUUCCUAAAGGCUACAGAGGCUCACAGCAGCAGAGCCUCGAGUACUACCCCCCUUUCCUUUUCUGAAAUGAGAGAUGUCCAGGGAAUCGGGGACAUCUUUCCCUCUUCUCUCUGUUAGGAUGCUAGUGAGUUCUGCUUUUCCCACUUUGUGAGCAAAGCACACAUGUGCACAGCUAACAAGCCAGAUGAUUUCUAAAUAAACUAAAAAUACUGCCUUAUCUCAGAGGCCUGUGCUGAAGGAGCUUGUUUAGAGUAUCGGAUGAACAUUUACAAAUAGAAAAUCCUUCCGAGUUACCUGCUGUUACACCCCAUGGCUUCCUCCCCUGGAACACAGCAAAGGACCUGGGGUGACUGGAGCAAGUGGCCAUCAGGGUUUGGUGAUACUGCGUCUGAUUUGUCCUCUCCUCUAGACUCGAGACAACUCCAGGGCAGAUCCUGGAGCCUCAGCCCCAGUCCAGGGUCUGGUACAUAGAAGGCGCCCCACAAGGGUUGGUGGUUGGUGGGAACACAGCAAAGUGGGAAUUCCUUGGCUGGUACUGUGCAGGUGAUUGAAGCCAGCUGCCUAGGGUUAAGAUAUCCCAUUUCCCAGUCUGGGUAGGAGAAACCCAGGUACAUGUUCACACAUGUCCACUCUGUUUGCCUCUCCCUCCCAUCCGGAGUCCUUCCACAGUGUCCCCUCCUUGGGACAUCUGCUUCCCCAGCAUAUGCCUCUGGGGCACUUUGCUGCAGAAUGGAAGAAGAUCAAGUGCUCUCCUGUUCCAGGUCAGGCACUUUGGAUUUAACCUUGAGGCAGAGGCUCAGCUGCCCUGACAACCCACAGCUCAUUUCUACAGCAACACCUCCUGCAAAGGUAGCCCAGCACGUCCUUGGCCACCAGCUUCCUGCGGUGAUAAAAAUAGCUGAGGCCCCGCAGCUGCUGAAUGAUGAAUUCUGGAAGGAGAUGAUUGAUUCUCACAGCUGAGUCUCGGGGUCAGCGAGUGUUGUGCAAGUGGAGACGCCGGGGUGAAGGAUGGGGGUUCUGCUAUAGAUAGAACUGUUGACAGAGUGAUCCUGGGCUUCUCCCCACCUGAGGGGAACAUAAACUGAGCUAAUUAAAAGGAACUGCAAAGGGCUGUUGGAAAUGAUGCAGACGCGUGCAUCCUUUGCUUUCAGACCAUCUUUGACCUUUUUGGAAUGUGCAGUCAUUUCCCCUCCUUCCUUCUGGCACAAGAUUCAAAGUGGGGAGAAAGUGUUCAUUUCCAGGGAAGGCAAUGGGGUGGUAAAGUGAGAGGAGUGCCUGCUUUCCCUAAAACAAUGGUGAGGAACUGUCAGGGCUUAUGAAACACCACAGGGACACCAAUGUCAGGCAGCACCUAACAGCCUGGAAUUAAAAUCUGCUCCCCGCUUGCUCAGGCUGGAGGAGUGCUCCUGCUGGCCUUGCCAGGGGACUAGCCUGUGAUCUACCAUGGCUGCACUCUGAUUAAUCACAGUGA
RNAcentral lists this long non-coding RNA (4880 nucleotides) under Homo sapiens (human). Its description in RNAcentral is "HSALNT0211902". The record is from RNAcentral. Lineage: Eukaryota; Metazoa; Chordata; Mammalia; Primates; Hominidae.